GAUCCCCUGCGAUGUGCGUGAUUAGCAUAAAGACUUUUUGAACCAACACCUAAGAACCGGGAGACUUUCCUUGUUAGCCGUGUGCAUGUCUGCCAGUAUCCUGUAAUAAAGGGAGGCAGAAAGCCUAAAGCAACAAUAAGACUCCCACUUUUUGAAACGGUUCAAAAUGGUGGUUGUUAACACGGCAAGGUGGGGGAUUU
This 200-nucleotide non-coding RNA is filed under the name Syntrophales bacterium. RNAcentral describes it as "6S RNA". It matches the Rfam family "6S / SsrS RNA". From Rfam's summary of the family: E. coli 6S RNA was the first non coding RNA to be sequenced, but its function was unknown until recently. It consists of 184 nucleotides that fold into an extended hairpin structure with a large single-stranded internal bulge. The 6S RNA specifically associates with RNA polymerase holoenzyme containing the sigma70 specificity factor. The record is from RNAcentral. Lineage: Bacteria; Pseudomonadati; Thermodesulfobacteriota; Syntrophia; Syntrophales.